Molecule: long non-coding RNA, 1313 nt
Organism: Daphnia magna
Lineage: Eukaryota; Metazoa; Arthropoda; Branchiopoda; Diplostraca; Daphniidae
Exons: 3
Source: RefSeq, a predicted model, not a curated record
UAAUAAUUUUUCCGUGCAAAGUGAUACAAACAAACUUUCUAAUCAAUGAUUAAACUUUAAAAUGUCUUUAAAAUAUAUAGAAAAUUUACUACUUCACCAGGACAUUUGUGCUAGGGGACAAUUGAUUGAAUUUGAAUCUUCAGCCUCAGAUAGAGAUAACAGAUCUGCGGUAUCUGCGGCACAUUUUGACAACUCCUUACAUAAUAAUGACACAUCAUCUUUAUACACAACAACCACAGAUUCUGCUGCAAUUUAUUACAACACAAGUACCGAUAGUAGCUACAGCGAUGAAAUUUUAAACAACUUUGAUGAUAUUGCAAAUGAAAAUCCAAUUGAGGAAGCUUUUAACGGACUAACCAUUACGGAGCGUAUCGCACAGAUAAAAAUCAAGACUAAUUGUUCUCUAACAACUAUCGCUGAAAUUUCAAAUCUCUUACGCGACUUGGGGCAUAACAUACCUAAGGAUCCAAGAACCAUUAUGAAGACGAAAGUUUGCGACUUAACCAAGUUAAAUAACGGUGUCCAAUGCAACAGCAACUCAUUCGUCCACCUUGGAUUAAUUGAAGGGAUAAGGAAAAAAUUGAUGAACGCCGACAAAAAGCUGAUGAUGCUUAUUCUUCAAUUUAAUAUUGAUGGUUUACCGCUCUGGAGGAGUAGCCGCACGCAAUUCUGACCAAUUGUUUGUCGCAUUAUUAAUUGUCAAGAUAGUAGUGAAUUUCUCGUCACUUUACACUGUGGAGUUGGAAAACCGCUAAGCGUCAGAUCAUAUCUUCGGCCUUUUUUGGACGAAUUAAAAGCGCUUUUAAACGACGGAUUACUUCACUUUGGGCAAAAAUUUGACAUUCGAAUUGGCGCUUUCUGUUGUGACGCACCAGCUCGCGCAUUAAUCAAGAAAAUCAUUGGACACACGGGAUAUUGCGCAUGUGAACGAUGCGAAACACAUGGAAUGAGAUCUGAUAAUAGAACGACGUUUCCACAACUAACGGCAGCUUUAAGAACUGAUGAGUCUUUUAGAGCUGGUUCUGAUGAACAUCAUCAUAAUUCCAUUAGCCCUCUUGAAGAAAUCGAUAAUUUAGACAUGGUGUUUGACAUACCGUUGGAUUAUCUUCACCUGGUUUGUUUUGGAGCCAUGAAACGCCUUCUGAAAAUGAUUUGGUUGGAACAACACCCCGAUUGCCUGAGUAAGCAACAACAACGAUUGAUAAAUGAAUUAAUCAGAUUAUGUGCCAUGCAACUACCAAAGGAAUUCAAUCGAAAAGGUCGAUCGCUUGAGGAUAUAAGUAACUGGAAAGCCACAGAAUUUAGGACGUUUC